GAUUAACGCUGGCGGCAUGCCUAAUACAUGCAAGUCGAACGGAAGCAGCAAUGCUUUAGUGGCGAACGGGUGAGUAACACGUAGGGAACCUACCUAUACGACGAGGAUAACUACUGGAAACGGUAGCUAAAACUGGAUAGGAUCAAUUGAGGCAUCUUGAUUGAUUUAAAGAUCCUUCGGGAUUACGUAGAGAUGGCCCUGCGGCGCAUUAGCUAGUUGGUGAGGUAACGGCCCACCAAGGCGACGAUGCGUAGCUGAGCUGAGAGGCUAAACAGCCACACUGGGACUGAGACACGGCCCAGACUCCUACGGGAGGCAGCAGUAGGGAAUUUUCGGCAAUGGGGGAAACCCUGACCGAGCAAUGCCGCGUGAACGAUGAAGGUCUUCGGAUUGUAAAGUUCUGUGAUUGGGGAAGAAUGGUAUUCUUAGGGAAUGAGGAGUACAUGACGGUACCCGAUUAGAAAGCCCCGG
This 471-nucleotide ribosomal RNA is filed under the name uncultured bacterium. RNAcentral's name for it is "bacterial SSU rRNA". It matches the Rfam family "Bacterial small subunit ribosomal RNA", at positions 28 to 496 of the family's 1533-position model. The record is from RNAcentral.